AUGGCAGAUUCUUCUGCAACAUACAUACACUUGGUAACUGAGAUACCAAAGAACUCGAGUCUCUUAUUAUUGUUUGGUUAGUUACAUAAUAUUCAUCAUUUUCUUGAUGGAUCGAGAUAUAUAUGUAAUUUAUGUUCAUUUAUGUUUUUGUUUUUAUUUUUUUUAUGAUGUUUAUGCUUAAUAAUGAAUGUGUGUGAUUUUGGUGACCAACCUGAAAUAGGUGCACCACCUGAUAGAAACGUGCCUGAUCUUCCACAUGACUAAAGAGGAGUGCAUGGAAGCCCUAUCUAAACAUGCAAACAUCAAACUGUCAUUACCUCCACUGGUUAGUUCUUCUCUUCAACUCUCUCUUCUUAAAGCCCUUUGCUGUUCGAGCGCAGGCGAGCGCUCGUGCGCGCACAUAUAUAUAUAUAUACACAUGCAAGCAAUGAAUGCAAGCAAUGUUUGAGGUUCAUAUCUAUCUAUAUGAUAAUAUUAAUGUUACUUCGAAUUUAGAACAGUAGCUUAGUCAUGAUCUGGAGUGAUUUUGGUGCAGUAUGGAAUGAGUUAGCUAAAGAGAACAAGGAAUUCUUCGAGGCUUAUGCACAAUCAACAAACAAACAAGAUGCAAUGUCUGAGGAAGAGACAAGCCAACUGAUCCGAAGCACGAUACAGGAGUCCUCCAAGCAUU
This 670-nucleotide long non-coding RNA is filed under the name Prunus dulcis (almond). RNAcentral's name for it is "sRNA ncRNA". The record is from RNAcentral. Lineage: Eukaryota; Viridiplantae; Streptophyta; Magnoliopsida; Rosales; Rosaceae.